Molecule: ribosomal RNA, 472 nt
Filed under: uncultured bacterium
Lineage: Bacteria
Description: partial 16S ribosomal RNA
Rfam family: Bacterial small subunit ribosomal RNA
Source: RNAcentral
AGUGAACGCUGGCGGUAGGCCUAACACAUGCAAGUCGAACGGCAGCACAGUAAGAGCUUGCUCUUACGGGUGGCGAAUGGCGGACGGGUGAGGAAUACAUCGGACUCUACUUUUUCGUGGGGGAUAACGUAGGGAAACUUACGCUAAUACAGCAUACGACCUACGGGUGAAAGCAGGGGAUCUUCGGACCUGGCGGGAUUGGAUGAGCCGCUGGCGGAUUAGCUUGUUGGUGGGGUAGUGGCCUACCAAGGCUCCGAUGGGUAGCCGGCCUGAGAGGGUGACCGGCCACAUUGGGACUGAGAUACGGCCCAGACUCGUACGGGAGGCAGCAGGGGGGAAUAUUGCACAAUGGGCGGAAGCCUGAUGCAGCAACGCCGCGUGCGGGAUGACGGCCUUCGGGUUGUAAACCGCUUUCGCCUGUGACGAAGCGGGAGUGACGGUAAUGGGUAAAGAAGCACCGGCUAACUACGUG